UGUACGGAAUCCGUUUAGAGAUAGAGGAGUGCUCGAAAGAGAGCCGUAACACAGGUGCUGCAUGGCUGUCGUCAGCUCGUGUCGUGAGAUGUUGGGUUAAGUCCCGCAACGAGCGCAACCCUUGUCAUUAGUUGCUACAUUCAGUUGGGCACUCUAAUGAGACUGCCGGUGACAAACCGGAGGAAGGUGGGAUGACGUCAAGUCCUCAUGGCCCUUAUAGGUGGGGCUACACACGUCAUACAAUGGAUGGUACAAAGGGUCGCCAACCCGCGAGGGGGAGCCAAUCCCAUAAAGCCAUUCGUAGUCCGGAUCGCAGUCUGCAACUCGACUGCGUGAAGUCGGAAUCGCUAGUAAUCGUGGAUCAGAAUGUCACGGUGAAUACGUUCCCGGGUCUU
RNAcentral lists this ribosomal RNA (395 nucleotides) under uncultured Acidovorax sp. RNAcentral's name for it is "bacterial SSU rRNA". It matches the Rfam family "Bacterial small subunit ribosomal RNA", at positions 987 to 1382 of the family's 1533-position model. Lineage: Bacteria; Pseudomonadati; Pseudomonadota; Betaproteobacteria; Burkholderiales; Comamonadaceae. The record is from RNAcentral.